This 514-nucleotide long non-coding RNA is filed under the name Eucalyptus grandis. Its description in RNAcentral is "long non-coding RNA (EGRA_LNC007135)". The record is from RNAcentral. Lineage: Eukaryota; Viridiplantae; Streptophyta; Magnoliopsida; Myrtales; Myrtaceae.
ACAACUCUUCCCCUCUUAUAAAAAUUUCGUCCUCGAAAUUUAAACCUUUAUCAAUUCUUAAACCAAAAGGUUGGGGUACAAUUGUCUCAUCGAUUCUGCUCCUUCAUUCUGCUUCGUACUGCUAUCCAAGAUCCUCGGUGCCGACGAAACAUUUCCGAAUUAACCAGACCAAUUCUUGAUUCCCAAAAAGGCUAAGCACUUGUCCAUCUUUGCAAAAAUGAAAGUUGCAAAAGUUUUGGUUCUUUUUUUUUUUUUUUCUUAUUUUUCCACAAAGCGGCUAACUGCCACGUCGGGGAUUCGAACUCCCGACUUCGGACCACUGCUUCACACCCGGAUACCAACUCGGCUAGAGGCGCCGAAGGUGUCCCAAACCGCUUUCUUUUUCCAUUUAAAGCCAAAAUUCUCCUUUAAUCUCAAAUUCGAACUAUUCCGCCAUUUAAACAGUUCCAGCUCUCCUUUCUUAACAAUUCGAGAUGUCCCUAUUCUAGGCGACAUCCAAGGAUGAACAGGAUUC